CGCGUAGGCGGAUGUUACAGUCAGGCGUGAAAUUCCUGGGCUCAACCUGGGAGCUGCGUUUGAUACGUGAUGUCUGGAGUUCGGAAGAGGGUCGUGGAAUUCCCAGUGUAGAGGUGAAAUUCGUAGAUAUUGGGAAGAACACCGGUGGCGAAGGCGGCGACCUGGUCCGAUACUGACGCUGAGGCGCGAAAGCGUGGGGAGCAAACAGGAUUAGAUACCCUGGUAGUCCACGCUGUAAACGAUGUGCGCUGGAUGUUGGGUGACAUAGUCAUUCAGUGUCGUAGCUAACGCGAUAAGCGCACCGCCUGGGGAGUACGGCCGCAAGGUUGAA
Molecule: ribosomal RNA, 331 nt
Filed under: uncultured bacterium
Lineage: Bacteria
Description: bacterial SSU rRNA
Rfam family: Bacterial small subunit ribosomal RNA
Source: RNAcentral